AUUUAGCCAUGGAGGCAAGUGAAUGCGCAACAAGGGAUCUCUAACCUUCAAACUGUUUGAGGGAGAAUACUCUAUGAUAUGAUUAAGAAUCUCUGGCCAGAGUAUGAAUGAGAUUUAGGAAGUAGUUCCAAAUCACAUUCAAGGUAAUCAUAUAUGUAAAUGAAUCACAUUGGAUAGUAGACAUGAAUAAACUAUCAAACCAAACAAUGUGGUCAAGAGUAUUGUAUUAGAGAAAGACCGUAUUGCAUUGUAAUCCUAAACUGAAUAGGUUCUCCACCUCUUCUGAUUAGCUUGGGUAACCAUGACAUACUACUAGGUGUCACUCAUGGUUUGUAGAAGCCCUAAAUGUGUAUAAUCACUAAAGGGAGAAUUGAAAGUAAGUUUCAGUUCAAAAUCAAUUUGAAAGAGUUCUAAUCGCCCACUGCCUCGCUAAAAGGAACCUAAUGGAUUGAUGUGAAAAUUAACUUGACACACAAAUUAAACCCUAUGGAUGACAAUUGUAGUAUAUGAGCAAAUAGGGAUCGUUCUAGACCGGGGAUUAACUAGGGAUGCUAAUCAAUGUGAAACUGACUCAAGAACAUAAAAACAUAAUGUAGAACACUAAACUAGACUCAAUUAAUGCAAAACUAGAGUUUAAAACACCUAAACAAACCAAAAACUCAAAACAGCAACUAAAACACUCAAAACUGCCUCAAAACCACUUUUUGGGCAGUUUUGAGUACCUAACACUAAUUUGGACGAAAUUGGACUAUAACUCGACUCAAAACACUUAAAAACACAAACUAAAUUGAUUUAUAACUAAUCUAACACUUUAAAAUAAAUGGGGGAUUGAUUUUGACGAAAUUAAAACUUUAAAACUUAAACUUUGAAAACAAAUGUAAAGCAAAACAGAUUGUGAUGAAAUAGAAUGGUGAGAAACUAGUUAGAGGGUUCCUUAUCCACACAUGAACAUAUGCAUACAACUCGAUUUCCAAUUACUCUUUCAACAAACCAUGAAUGACAAUGCCCCAAAUUAACUAGGUUGCACCAAUUAAUUCUCAGAUUUCCCUAGAUUCAUUGAAUUGAAUGGAAUACGCAUUACAACCAAAUUAUUCUUAUCAAGGACCCUAACUAUGGAAUACAGAUGAUAGAGACACAUAUCAAAGAUCAUUAAGUUCAAUGGAAAUCAUAAGCAUUGACGAGGCAUUCAUAACUAUGGGAUACACAUGUUACUCUUGCCUAGGAUUUACUUAACACAAUCGUGACUAACGACUUUUACUACUUAUGAAUAUAAGUUAAUAACGAUUAGGUGAAAUUCCCUUAUAUCCUAGCAUCAAGUUUAGGCAUGCAAAUUAAGUGUCGACCCUCAACCCACAUACAUAAACAAGUUAUCAAUCAAAUAGAUAAGUAAACCACAUUCACGAUUUAUGAAAUCAUAAUUCGAGGAAAUCAAAUCAUAUAAAACAUAUGUCCAUGGCUUCAAAUUCGCCUCUAACUACAUGUUUAACAUAAUUGAAAAGCAAAUUAAAUUAAACAUGAAAACAGAAACAAGAGAAGAAAGAACUCCAAACACUCCACUAAUGGCAGAUUGCAUGUGCAAGGUUUCUCCCUCCUUUGGACUGCACGGCACUACUUCUUUCUCCUUCAAUGGUGGCUGCACGAGGUGGUGAUGGUGGUGGAAAGGUGCGGCUGUGGUGGAUGAAUGGUUAUGGAAUAGGGUAGAAGGGUUAAGGGGACUAGGGGGCACGGCAAGAACUUAGAACUAGGGAGAAUGAUGUUGGUGGUUACGGCAAAGGCUUAGGGUAAAUUUCUGGAGUGAAUGGAUGAUAUGGGAGGUGGUAGUUUCGGCCAAAAGCUUUAAAGGAGUAUAUAUAGGCACUUAAAAACCCUAGCAAUCAGAUUAGGGUUUCUAGAAACCCAAAUCCAACAGAAAAUAGGUUAAACAAUUAGAUUUUGCAUGGGAAAAGGCCUAGGGUUCGGCUGGUUUAGUGGGCUAGGGUUAAGGCUUCUAGAAUGCCUUGCAAGGCAAGGCAAACAAGUUCUUCUAGAAGGCUAGGUGCGGCAAAGGGUUAGGGCUUCUAGAUAGGUCUUCUAGAAAGCCCAAAACCAAGAGAAAAUGAACCCAACCCACGGCAAGGAUGAGGAAAAUGUUCUAGAACCACUCUUUGUGUCUUCCAACGCUUAGGAACCUUCUAAUGUUGCUAAAACGCAAGGCCAUUUAGGUUUAGGAAAGAUCAACCCAAAAUGGAAACUUUUAGGCUUAGCUUUCCUACUUCAAGUAGGAAACCUCAUUUGAGUAGGAAUCUUCGUUCUUCUCGGAAUCAUCUUCAACUAGGAAUCCCUCGUUGAUUAGGAAUCCUUCGUCAAUUAGGACUCUUCCUCGGACUAGGAAUCCUUCUUGUACUAGGAAUCCUCAAAUCUUCAAAUCUUCAAUUUCAUCCAAACCUUGUGUUCCAAGCAUGUACUUGUCAAUCCAAGCUCACAAUUUGCUCCAAAAACUCCAAAUUGCCAUCUUUUAUGUCAUAUGCCCUUUAAGCCUGAAAACACAUGAAAGUAGCUCAAAAGACUACUUUAACGAAGAAAACA
RNAcentral lists this long non-coding RNA (2565 nucleotides) under Malus domestica (apple). Its description in RNAcentral is "long non-coding RNA (MDOM_LNC020310)". The record is from RNAcentral. Lineage: Eukaryota; Viridiplantae; Streptophyta; Magnoliopsida; Rosales; Rosaceae.